UGGGGAAUAUUGGACAAUGGGCGAAAGCCUGAUCCAGCCAUGUCGCGUGUGUGAAGAAGGUCUUCGGAUUGUAAAGCACUUUAAGUUGGGAGGAAGGGCAUUAACCUAAUACGUUAGUGUUUUGACGUUACCGACAGAAUAAGCACCGGCUAACUCUGUGCCAGCAGCCGCGGUAAUACAGAGGGUGCAAGCGUUAAUCGGAAUUACUGGGCGUAAAGCGCGCGUAGGUGGUUUGUUAAGUUGGAUGUGAAAUCCCCGGGCUCAACCUGGGAACUGCAUUCAAAACUGACUGACUAGAGUAUGGUAGAGGGUGGUGGAAUUUCCGGUGUAGCGGUGAAAUGCGUAGAUAUAGGAAGGAACACCAGUGGCGAAGGCGACCACCUGGACUAAUACUGACACUGAGGUGCGAAAGCGUGGGGAGCAAACA
RNAcentral lists this ribosomal RNA (427 nucleotides) under uncultured bacterium. RNAcentral's name for it is "partial 16S ribosomal RNA". It matches the Rfam family "Bacterial small subunit ribosomal RNA", at positions 355 to 774 of the family's 1533-position model. The record is from RNAcentral.